This 500-nucleotide ribosomal RNA is filed under the name uncultured bacterium. RNAcentral's name for it is "partial 16S ribosomal RNA". It matches the Rfam family "Bacterial small subunit ribosomal RNA", at positions 30 to 523 of the family's 1533-position model. The record is from RNAcentral.
AUUGAACGCUGGCGGCAUGCCUUACACAUGCAAGUCGAACGGCAGCACGGGAGCAAUCCUGGUGGCGAGUGGCGAACGGGUGAGUAAAGUAUCGGAACGUGCCCAGUCGUGGGGGAUAACGUAGCGAAAGUUACGCUAAUACCGCAUACGAUCUAUGGAUGAAAGCGGGGGAUCGCAAGACCUCGCGCGAUUGGAGCGGCGGAUAUCAGAUUCGGUAGUUGGUGGGGUAAAGGCUCACCAAGCCGACGAUCUGUAGCUGGUCUGAGAGGACGACCAGACACACUGGGACUGAGACACGGCACAGACUCCUACGGGAGGCAGCAGUAGGGAAUUUUGGACAAUGGGCGAAAGCCUGAUCCAGCCAUGCCGCGUGCAGGAUGAAGGCCUUCGGGUUGUAAACUGCUUUUGUACGGAACGAAAAGGUUUGGCCUAAUAAGCUGAGCUCAUGACGGUACCGUAAGAAUAAGCACCGGCUAACUACGUGCCAGCCGCCGCGGUAA